Molecule: long non-coding RNA, 278 nt
Filed under: Elaeis guineensis (African oil palm)
Lineage: Eukaryota; Viridiplantae; Streptophyta; Magnoliopsida; Arecales; Arecaceae
Description: long non-coding RNA (EGUI_LNC064400)
Source: RNAcentral
AGCAGAAUGAUAGAUAUUGCUACUUCAGAAGAAUUAAUUACAGGCAUCAGUUAGGUAGAUGUAGUUAAAAAAAUUCUAUGUUUACAAUUUACUGAUGACAUAGUGGUUUUCUACGAGGCUACCAAGGACCAAAUCAACAUUUUGAAACUCAUACUCUACUCCUUUGAGUUGAUGACUAGGCCAAAGAUAAAUUUUGAGAAGACAAAAUUGUUAGGGAUCGAUUUAUGCUUCGAGGAAGUCAGUGGCUAUGCGAGGAUUCUAGGUUGUCAGCCUUUUGA